Long non-coding RNA from Mercenaria mercenaria, 322 nucleotides. RefSeq lists it as uncharacterized. The transcript is spliced from 3 exons. NCBI's taxonomy places the organism in Eukaryota, Metazoa, Mollusca, Bivalvia, Venerida, Veneridae. The record is from RefSeq and is a predicted model, not a curated record.
GUGGUAUCUACAGUCCACCAUCACUUCAAGCAUUAUGACUAUGGAUAAAAGAAGGUUUCAUUACAUAUGGACAAUUAUACUGGACAAAAUAAGAAGUGUUCUAAUAAGUUCUGGAAUGUGGCUUGUUAUGAUGGGUCUACAUGAUUGACUUGGAGUACAACCUGAUGGGGGCUGGGCUUGCAGGAUUCAGUCCUGAACAUGUUUAGAAUGUCUUCUGCAUGACCUAGUAUAGUAUUCUUGAAGGAUUAUAACUUCAACACAGAGACGGAGAUUAAUAUUUUAGGCAGGGGAUUGGCAUGACAGGCAAAUUCUCCAACUGUAU